Molecule: ribosomal RNA, 520 nt
Filed under: uncultured bacterium
Lineage: Bacteria
Description: bacterial SSU rRNA
Rfam family: Bacterial small subunit ribosomal RNA
Source: RNAcentral
AAUAGAUACCCAGGUAGUCCACGCCGUAAACGAUGAGUGCUAAGUGUUAGAGGGUUUCCGCCCUUUAGUGCUGAAGUUAACGCAUUAAGCACUCCGCCUGGGGAGUACGGCCGCAAGGCUGAAACUCAAAGGAAUUGACGGGGGCCCGCACAAGCGGUGGAGCAUGUGGUUUAAUUCGAAGCAACGCGAAGAACCUUACCAGGUCUUGACAUCCUCUGACAACCCUAGAGAUAGGGCUUCUCCUUCGGGAGCAGAGUGACAGGUGGUGCAUGGUUGUCGUCAGCUCGUGUCGUGAGAUGUUGGGUUAAGUCCCGCAACGAGCGCAACCCUUGAUCUUAGUUGCCAUCAUUAAGUUGGGCACUCUAAGGUGACUGCCGGUGACAAACCGGAGGAAGGUGGGGAUGACGUCAAAUCAUCAUGCCCCUUAUGACCUGGGCUACACACGUGCUACAAUGGACGGUACAAAGAGUUGCAAGACCGCGAGGUGGAGCUAAUCUCAUAAAACCGUUCUCAGUUCGGA